AAGGGUGAUAAGGGGGACCCCUGGAUUGGGGGUGUGUGGAGGGGGUAGGGGGCGGCAGGGGUCCAAGCCAAGCCAAACGGUUUUCUCACGUGCAAACUCGCAAUCCAAUCCAUUCGGAGUUGAGCCGAGGAUAGGAGGGGAAAGUCUAUUAAAAAAAAAAAAAUCAGGAGCAUCUCUCUGAGAAGCCCUUUCAAACAAAAUCAAAACAGGACCAGAGAAUCUCAGACCGUCUCUAACAUCCCUGCUGCGAGGCCCGCGGGCUCUGGAAUCUCGCACGUCACCUGGCCCCAGCAGGGCGGCCAGCUGAGGGGUUUAUUUUAUUUUAUUUUAUUUUAUUUUAUUUUAUUUUAUUUUAUUUUAUUUUAUUUUUUGAAGUUAAGGCUGAAUCUCGGCUUCAGUGCUUUUUGCCAACCUCUCCACUGACAGGAACCAGCAAACUUCAGGACUCAAAUGAGCGUCUUAAUUUAUUGAUGCAAAACAGGUCAAAACUACCAAAAGGGCCAUUUGGACAUCAACCUAAGGGCUCAGAGUGACCUGUACUGUGUUCUUUUUUCCUUUGUAAAGAGAAAAGGGACCAGAAAUGAUGACCUUCUGAACCCACCCACUCUGCACCCUGCAUUGAGACCCACUUUCAGUCCUCCUCGAUGACUCGAAAUUAAUGCUCACUGAUAGCAAAGUUGGAAAAGCAAUGUGGAAUUUCUCUCCUUGUCGUAGAAAAGGCGGUGUGCUCAUAAUUGUUAUGCUCACGUCGUAUAAAUUAGAAGGUGGAUACGUUGAAAACCUCAACCAGUUCCUGAGGCAAGACAUGUGAAAUGGCAACAACUAAAAGGAUGUGAAGACGAAAGUGGAGAGUGAUUAAGACAUACUGUAAGAUACAUCCUGCAUCAAGCACAAUGAAUGAUCUCCAAAAUCUCUGAUGUCGAAGCCAUAUCCUAUUGUCCAGAUUAAGGGACCCCCUUCCUGAUUGCAGGAAGACCAUUUCUAAGGCAAAAGAACGUGGGUGGCUGUACUCCUCUGCUAGGACCUACGUCAGAGUUAACGUAAAAGCUUCACAUGUGAGAUAAAUGCACUCCAAGACUCCUCACAAGGAGCUCUUUGGAGCUUCAGAUGUGAAAUGGAUCAUUCCUCAAUCUGUAAUAGACCCUUCUGUGAAGCUCUUCAAUCAAACCUGAGAAUAUAAGUUCUUUUCUGGAGCAUAGGAAGACUGUCAAUCAAGGUGUGACCUUACACACUGUCUGUGUGUAAUACCUGGAGACAACAAGCUGUAGAAGGAAUGUCGUAUGCACCUUUGAUUUCUUCCCAUUUGUCGUUUUCUUCCUGAGAACCUUCAGGCGUUUUGUAGCAUCCUAAACAGAAGGAUAUUGAAGGGAGCUGAUUCUGCUUUGAUCCUUGUGCUUGUUGUCAAAGCGCUUGGGAUUGAAGAGACUGUUGGCUACAAUUGACUGUGACAAUUAGGAGAUGAUCAGAGCCCUAGAGUGGAGCACUUAAAGGGUUUGCAUUUAAAACACUCUUGGAGCACUAAUUGUAUAAAAUUCUGGUAACUGCACAUUCUCUUUUUAGAGAGGUAAUGAGUGAAUGAAUGAAAAGGCAGGGAUUAUUGGCCAUUCUAAGGGGGGAUUGUCAGAACAUUUCUACUUGACUGAAAUUGUUUUGGAAGGUGAGCUGGAACAAGAAUCUUGCAACUAAAAUGAAGUGACUCUGCAUGUGGUUCUUGGAUGUUUCUUUCAUCAAAGGAUUCCGCAGAAUUGUUCUUAGGCAUAGAAGUUGAUUUAAAUUUUAUUUAUGAGAAAAUAUUUAGGUGAAUCCAAUGAGAACAUUAUAAAGUAUGUGUAUUUGACUCAGCAGGUAAAUGAGAGUCUUUGAAAACUCACUUGGAAUUAUUUGAGAUGAGUUUUCCUAUUAUCAUCACGGUAUUCCCCCCCCCCCCGCCAGUAUAGAGAUUGCCAUGUUGUGACAAAUAAACUAUUGAAAUACUUCGAAAAGUUUUUAGAAAUGUGCCCCAAGGAAACAAUAUGUAAAUUGUUUAGUUAAUUCACAUGUCUAUUUAGCAAAAUGUUGCUGUUACUGAAAAGUCCUCGAACCUUUAGCACGACAUUCCAGAGCAUCUACGGUCCUAUUUGAAUGUACACCUCUUUGGUUGUACAUGUUUGGAAGUGAUUAGAGUUACCAGGCUUAGCAAAUAAAAUUAAAGAGUUCCUAGUUAAAUUUGAAUUUCUGAUGAAUAAUGAAUAAUUUUUGAUAUAUAUAUGUCUUAUCAAUAUUUGCAUUUUAUCUGGCAACCCUAGGUGGCACUCUGAUUGGACAGACAUUGCAAAUAUGCAUUGAAUGGACAAUUUAAUUAUUUAUAAAUUAUAAAUUGUCAUUUAUAAAUCAUUCUACUUUUCACUGUCAGAAUAGGUCACCAAACUUGCCCCUUCAAAUGGAAAUCAAAAGUCUCUUUAACUCAUCAGUGCUGGGUUUAAUUUCCCCCAUAAUUUUCCCAGGGCAAGGUGUGACUUGUCAUUUCAAGCCUAGAGUAAUUUCUGGCUGACUAAUAUCAUGGAGACUUCAGAGAAGGGGACUGAGGACCAGGCUUACCUACAUUGAUCAGGCUCUGACUGGAGUGUUUGGUGGUUACAGGAACAGAGGACUGAAUGAUACGAUGAGGACAUACUAUCUUUGUGAAGCUACAUCUUUCCUUUUGUGGCAGUAUGGUGACGACACAUACAUAUACAUUUGUUACCGACACUCCUGAGACGGUCACCAUCAAGGUUCCUUCUGCCCGGAGUCAUUGGAACCAACAGAAUCAGAGUGAGUUCGGUUUGGAAGCAAAGGAAAGCUUUAUUCUUGGAUCAAAGAACGGAGAGGUGCGAGGAGAGAUCUAGAGCACGUGCUGUUUUCUGGACAGGCACGGGCGGGGCUGCCUUGUACGAGUGUCCUCAGCGGGGGAGGGGAGGGGAGGGGACGGAGUUCUCGCGGGACAGGUGCAGCCGCGCUGCUCACACUCCCAAUCACAAUGCAGGGCGCAGCGUCUCUGCACACGGCCCCCAGCCGCCCCCACCCCCACCGCCGCCGCCGUGGACUGAGUGUUGUGCGCCGUGCAGCGCCUCUGCUGGAGGCCCGUCAGCUGAGGUGCUGGGCGCAGCCGUUUCUGAAGGGCCGGGUGCGAGGCCUCUGCGUACAGACCCCUGUGAACCAGUGAAACUAGACUGAGCGCAGAGGAUAAGAAAAAGAAAGAGAACGGAAAGGGAAAAUGUGAGUACAGAGAAAGUGGCACUGAUUUCCAUCACAAAAAGAGAUUCUACAAAGCUCUGGAGGAAAGUCACACCACAGCAUAGGCUGAUCCUGGAGUGUAUCUGAGGAAUACAACAACAUAUAUUCAACACACCAAGUUCUAAA
Vicugna pacos (alpaca) is the source of this 3378-nucleotide non-coding RNA. NCBI's taxonomy places the organism in Eukaryota, Metazoa, Chordata, Mammalia, Artiodactyla, Camelidae. The record is from RefSeq and is a predicted model, not a curated record.